This 483-nucleotide ribosomal RNA is filed under the name uncultured bacterium. RNAcentral describes it as "bacterial SSU rRNA". It matches the Rfam family "Bacterial small subunit ribosomal RNA", at positions 30 to 489 of the family's 1533-position model. The record is from RNAcentral.
AUUGAACGCUGGCGGCAGGCCUAACACAUGCAAGUCGAGCGGAAACGAGUUAUCUGAACCUUCGGGGAACGAUAACGGCGUCGAGCGGCGGACGGGUGAGUAAUGCCUAGGAAAUUGCCCUGAUGUGGGGGAUAACCAUUGGAAACGAUGGCUAAUACCGCAUAAUGCCUACGGGCCAAAGAGGGGGACCUUCGGGCCUCUCGCGUCAGGAUAUGCCUAGGUGGGAUUAGCUAGUUGGUGAGGUAAUGGCUCACCAAGGCGACGAUCCCUAGCUGGUCUGAGAGGAUGAUCAGCCACACUGGAACUGAGACACGGUCCAGACUCCUACGGGAGGCAGCAGUGGGGAAUAUUGCACAAUGGGCGCAAGCCUGAUGCAGCCAUGCCGCGUGUGUGAAGAAGGCCUUCGGGUUGUAAAGCACUUUCAGUCGUGAGGAAGGUGGUAGUGUUAAUAGCACUAUCAUUUGACGUUUAGCGACAGAAGAA